This is a small nucleolar RNA of Hevea brasiliensis (rubber tree), 108 nucleotides long. Lineage: Eukaryota; Viridiplantae; Streptophyta; Magnoliopsida; Malpighiales; Euphorbiaceae. The record is from RefSeq and is a predicted model, not a curated record.
AUGGCAUGAUGUGGACAUUGUCUUUUCUAUUCUUUCCAUCUCAUCCACGACUCAUAAAGAGUCUCAUCUUCUCUUAGUCAAAAAGCUAUCAUUUGAUUCCUUAAUUCU